This 301-nucleotide ribosomal RNA is filed under the name uncultured bacterium. RNAcentral describes it as "partial 16S ribosomal RNA". It matches the Rfam family "Bacterial small subunit ribosomal RNA", at positions 509 to 808 of the family's 1533-position model. The record is from RNAcentral.
CAGAGCCGCGGUAAUACGAAGGGUGCAAGCGUUAAUCGGAAUUACUGGGCGUAAAGCGUGCGUAGGCGGUUUGUUAAGUCUGUUGUGAAAUCCCCGGGCUCAACCUGGGAAUGGCAAUGGAUACUGGCAAGCUAGAGUGUGUCAGAGGAUGGUGGAAUUCCCGGUGUAGCGGUGAAAUGCGUAGAGAUCGGGAGGAACAUCAGUGGCGAAGGCGGCCAUCUGGGACAACACUGACGCUGAGGCACGAAAGCGUGGGGAGCAAACAGGAUUAGAUACCCCCGUAGUCCCUGUCUCUUAUACA